This is a long non-coding RNA of Ornithodoros turicata, 11044 nucleotides long. RefSeq lists it as uncharacterized. NCBI's taxonomy places the organism in Eukaryota, Metazoa, Arthropoda, Arachnida, Ixodida, Argasidae. The record is from RefSeq and is a predicted model, not a curated record. The transcript is spliced from 3 exons.
AGAAACUGCGCGAAACUGCAGUUGUCCUUCCAGGUGCACACGGGUCCGACUGCCUGCCUUAUGGUUUGCUAACCCUAGCUAUCUUGUACGCCUCCAACUCAGCCCAAAGACCAACGAUGCUCAGCGGUUUUGACGGAGGGUCUCACUUUUUCUGACGUAUCUUCGCAUCAGGAUGGACGUUCGUCAAGUCAUACUGAAGGACCAUGGCCUCUCGGUCACUCUAGCCACUCUAACCACUCAACUUCCAACUAGAGGCACACAUGCACACGAUCGCUCUCUCUCUCUCGCCCUGUCUCCGCAGAGAGGAGCAAUCGAGGGGCCGUGGUCCAACUCUCUUCACUCACCGUGUCCAGUAUCCUGCCCUACGGUGCGAGACACCACAAUUCGUUUAAUGCUCACGAGCAAAUUUCGAAAGAAAAUGCAAGUACCAAAGUUCCACCAAAUACAUUGAGAAUGCGUCGACGCGUCUGGCCGUGGGAGUACUCUUGUCCAACUCAUUUGUUUUCCUCUACCGCCCUCUUGGCGGCCGUGGGUUUCGGUACGUAUCGUUCCACUGCUUCUCUGCUAUUGUUCAGAGCAUUUCCAGAGCGUCAUUGCUUUGUUUUAUUUUUAUUUAUUUUUUAGUAUUCAACUUUCAUCUCUCGCCGGGUCUCCUCCAGCAGAUCGAACUACGAUUUCAGGAGCAAACUUUUUCCCAAGCUUCUCUUGCGUUUGUUCUGGACAUCUUGUAGCCAGGCCUGUGAACUCCAUUCCCAAAGGGCACACCUAUCAGUCCACACUUUAUCUGUGGGUAAUACGUGCUCAUUCGAUAAGUUAAUAACUGGCAUUCUGUGCAGUAUAUGUACGUCUUGGUACUUGAUGCUGAUCGACACAGGGUCUCCGCCAAAAAUCGUUUCCAACGUUUCGUACGCGGUAGGUUCAAUGUUCGGUUCGUUGAACAUCAUUAUCCCCCUCAAGUGACAAUCUUGAAAUGGGAACUGUGUGCCCCUGUUGAAGUUACCUAAGAAAUCUGCAUUUAAGUAGAAGUAACACAUAUAGUCCAUUAGAAAGGUCUUUCCUGCGGACAGCGGCGAAAAGAUACAAAGCGCUUCUUCUUCCUAGGGUACGCAAGUCCACAUACCGCAGCUAAUUCAUGCCAGAAUUGCAUGCAUUCCUCUUGACAUUGACAGAAGACGAAACGCUCUAAAAUAUCUACGGACUCUUCUAUAGAGACAAGUAUAGAUUACAAGCAGGGUGAACCGAGGAGCAAUGGCCACGUUAGUAUAAUAUUUCUCGUAGUCGCGGAAAGUCCAUCCUUUAGUAAGAGUGCGAAAGCUAUGUACAGCUAAAGCGUAAGCAGGAUCACCGCGAUUAAGCAUGUCACAUUCCGUUUAAAUCCAUUCGACUGUGCCGCAGGACGAUAUGAGUGAGGAAAAUGCCAAAACGUUAAAUCAUAACCCAUAAUUAUAUUAUAUUGAAAAUAUAUAUACACGAGCACUUCCUUUAAUUACAUCCAGUAAAGUCUUGGCAGUUUCGUGCACUUUAGUGACUCGCAGUUUUUUUUUUUUUUUUCUUCUUCGUUCUUUGAGUUGGCCCUGGAGUCGGUCGAUCAUUUGGUGGAUCUCUGCCUGCAUUUGUGGUGUUUCCGGGUCCCAGUCUAUCGGAACAAUACACUAAGUGUGCGGAGUCUUCCAGCGCUCCUCGCGAGGUAGCUGAUGGUACCGAUCCCUCUCCAAAAGCUCUGUUUUGUACAACACCCAAUGUCGGUGGGUUGUCCCCAGUUGUGAGCGCAUACAAAUCGCCUUGAUGGUGGCGUGAAAUACUCCAGGGUGUCGAUGAGGUGUUGUUCCAUGAGAUCGCGAAUGGACGUACCCAAGCGCGAGCUGCGGCUAACGAUGGUGUUUCAUAGGAUCCGGCACCGACAGUACCUGUUGGAGUAUGCGCAUAUGUGGAGCAGGUGGAAGUGGUCCCGUCCAUCACAGACGAUGUUUUUAAUUUCUUGAAGGGAAGAUCCGAUAGCUGUUUCCCGGCAGGUGAAAUACUUUUCUGUGAAUACGAAUGGUCUGUAUUUGCUGUCGCCUCCGUUGAAGCUGAUGAAGAAGAAGUCGUUGGUUGUUAAUCAAGUUAAUCAAGAAUGUGAGAAACUGCAUAAACUCCUGUCGUUCUGCAUAAACUACCCCACAGUCUCAAGGACAAGAAAGAAAUGGCGACUCCCUCUCCAGGGGAUGCCCAGAUCCCCUCAUCUGCAGAGUCUAAACUCCCUUCGGCCAGUGGACAUAGGUGAUCCCCUCGCUGGAAAUGUUUCCAGAAGAUUCGGAACCCUCUGGGUAGGCGUUGGUGAUCCGUGAAGAGACACCAGAGGAUCAAGUGGCAUGUAUUGCUAGGAGUUUCACCCAGGUAACCUCCGCGUCUCACUUCGGUCUCGAAUAACACAAAAUAUAAGGUCGUUACAACCUGCCACCGAACAUGCCUCAAUUCAUUGGUAUCACAUACGACAGACAAUUCUGUGUACGGUAAUUACUAUAAUUACAAGCCCUACGCAGACACGGUACGAACUAGUCAUGUGUGGUGGCACAUUUGGCUGCUUGUCGCCCUUGUGCAAUAAAACACCAAAACCAACAAACAUACUUCACGUUUCCGAACUCGUUUGUGCCUGUGCUGUCGCUGGAGAUGGCUGAACGUUCUGCGAUGAAGGCUCGCACAUGGGAACAUAAUCGACGCCUGAUGAGAAGCUUACUUGGGCAUCCUGCUGUUUCGAUUGGGGUUUCGUGGUAAAUCAGUUGAACCAACCAGAGGUAUUAUUAAACUGUUUCGACACUCUUCCUGCUGUAUAAACAAUCUUAAAAUGUUGGGUCACAUGGGAACACUGUCCGAGCCGAGUAUUCGCUUUGAUGGAGGCAUUGAGUUCUAAGUCCACUUUUUCGAUGUUGUAAACGAGCAGACUACAGGAGCACUAUGGAAAGUGUUGGACGCACCUGCGUCAAUGGGCCUAUGCAGUGCAUUCACUAUCGAAUUUGAUCCGUCAGCUUCAUUUCUUUCCAAAUGACCGGUGGCUUUUACAGUGGCUCAUCACUUCAAGGCUGUUGGAUCUCGUGAAGCGUAGGCUUCUUGUGGUAUGCGUUUUGCCGAAGUGCUUUGGGCAAAACGAUUGACGGGAGCAGAAGGGUGUUGCCUAGCGGGUGCAUAACUGUGAAGAGGACGAUCCCAGAGAAAAGGAUAAACACACAAGCUUUCUCACACAUGUGAUGUGUUGCUGACAGUUGCGACGCAGUACACAAAGGGCGAGACAGACGAUGUCGCACCUUUGUCUCGUCCUUUGUGUACUGCGUCGCAACUGUCAGCAAUAUGUACUAGAGUCACUAAAUAGGGAGCAUAGUAGCGACACUGAGCCACGUAGGCGAGCGAGCCCGCCAUUUUGAGUCAGGCGCGGCUGCGUCGCCUAGCAAUGGGACGCCAGUUCCCCCUCCUCCGGUGGAGAACAACGCGCAGUCGAGCCACCUCGCAACCCAGGAAACCGGUUUUGGAUGGUGACCGCCAAAAAUCUCGAGUCAAAAACCGCGACAGACAAAAUCGCGAGUCAACAACCGCGAUUUUCAAAAACCGCGAUUAGCAAAAACCGCGACAGGUGAAAACCGCGAGGGUCAAAAACAGCGACAAGCAAAAAAGGCGACGUCCAAAGAUAGCGACAGGCAAAACCGCGAUAGGCAGAAACCGCGAUGGCCAAAACCCGCGAGCAAACCUGCAUAGAAUUGAAGAGGAUACUUUUUGAGCACGCCGAUGCUGACUGGCAGUGUUUCAGACAUUUGACAAGACUUGAAAUAUGUUGGUCUCCGCCGGACGCCGAAAUUACUCGUACAAAUACGGACAUGGAAGAGGUAGAGAAUGGCAUAUACACUCAUUCCCUGCCCGCGUCAGCUAUCACGUUCACUCUGUCGGAAAUAUAACCAAUUACUGAGUAAUCGAUUACUCGAAAAAUUACUAAAAAAUGUAAUUUAUUACAAGUAACGCGUUACGCACAAGUCAAGUGUGAAGUAUACAGAUUGAGCACAUCGAAAGCUGCAGUUUAAGCACAGAAGUCAUUUUUAAUUCCCUGCUUUCUUCCUAUAAAACUAUUAAUUAGGCCAGUAAGAUGCGCCAUGAGAAGUAAUUCACGCCACAGUAUCAUAAUUAUCGCAGAAAUUGAAUUUAAAGUACGCCGCAAAAAGGGACCGGUGUGCGCAACGGUGGUGGAGAGCAGUACCAGCCUGUGAUUUGCCCAUGACCUCGCGCUGACGCCUUAGCUGUCGUCUGCUGUUCGGGACUCUGAAAAAGCAUUGCUUCUGGAUUGGUCAUGAUUCAGCCGCUCCUGGUUUAUGGCGGCAAAGCUGGUUUAUGGCGGCAAAGGGCGCUGACCACCGAACCAGAACACGUAUGGACCCUGUAACGUCAUGUUUAUGUGAGUUUUUCUUUUUCUUUUUUUCUGGGAAACAAACUGUAUACAUCAAAACCUUUCGUGCUACCAGGUAAAUUGACACACACACUUUCAUCAAAUGUCUUAAUCUGAAAUUUUUAGGAUGGCCCUCUGUACUCCUUUAAGGCUUUUAUUCCCGGAAUGGAAGUUAGCCUACUUUUCAUAUCCUCAUGGCCCCCUUUCAUCCUCCCUUCUAAAGGAGAGUGAGUAAGGUUUUUAGCUGUCGCGUUUUUAGUCGCGGUCUUCGGCUGUCGCGUUUUUUGCCUGCCGCUGUUUUCCCCUACUCGCGGUUUUUGGUGUCGCGAUAUUUGUGUGUCGCUAAUGCUUCCUAUCGCUAUUUUUGUCUAUCGCGAUUUUUGGAUCUCGCGGUUUUUGACUCGCGGUUUUUGCUGUAGCGGUUUUUGACUCGCGAUUUUGACCUAGAACCGUUUUGGAUGGAGGUAACUCAACAUGGACGGCGAGUUCUUGGAAGGAGAAACCACGUGGCACGUUCGGCCCAAUCGCAGACACUGAACGGCGGCUUCGGCGGGGAAAAGGAAUGCGAUACUCUGUACCCCUAUUUAGUGACACUAAUAUGUACCAACUUGCCCGGUAUUUGUUACAACGUGUUGUGUGUUCUAGGGGCGGGUCUAAGAUUUUCCCGAGGGGGGGGGGGGUCCAUGUGGACAAAUGCCACGUGCAUUCUGGGAUUGGUCCGCUGAACCCUGUGUUCAAGUCUGUAAUUGAGGGUGUCCGGACCCCUGCCCCCCCCCCCCCCCUACAUCCGCGCCUGGUGUGUUCAUCCUUGUUUCGUGUAUCAUCCUCUUCGCAGUGCUUUGAGAACCUGCCAGAAUGUUGAGUUGUGAAUUGGGGACUGCACACUCUUCCGAGAGUAUUUCAUGCUGGGGUAGAUAUGCUGCUCAUCUUGCCUAUAGACCUGUUGCUCUGGUCCAGGUGGCGCAAGUGAGCAGCAACAUCAGCGCCCCAAAUUAUGCAACACUCCCUAGUUUAGCAGACGACGCGGCACUUUCAAAUACACGGUCCCGAGUUGUUCGCAGUUUUCAAGAAGCACCGCUUUUUCUGUGGAUUUCCUACAGGUUUUGUAGCUUUCCUUGGCACCAUACCGUUUGAAACACCAUGCAAAACCCGCUGAUGAAACUCCUUACUGUUUGGAUCCGUGUCCGCUUGGGCCAGAAAUGGCGCUGUGCAAACUUCAGUGCAACAGCCCUAUAGCGGUUCGUGAAUUUGUACCCCAUAGCUGUUCCACGUUUGGGACUUGACCAGGCUACGUUGUGCGAAACAACAUACCAAGUUUGUCACAUGUGGUAGCUGGUAACGGUACAACAUUCCUAAAUGCAGCACGAAGAACGCAGACUGAUGGGGCAAUUGCAGACACUACUUACUCUGCACAGAACACAGCCUGUUCUCAUUCCUUGGAGUGGUCGCGCAAGUGUUUCUUUUACUGAUAAUGACUCUCUGUAGCUCCUCUUACGUAUAGGAAUUGCAUGCAGCCAGGACCGACGUCAGUUCCACUUGUAACACCAUGUUAUGAAAAAAGACGAUUCCAUUAGAGCUUUGUCUUCUUUAAGAGACGCCGGAAGUUGCGUAGAAUGAAGAUAGACCUACUCAUACAAACUGCAUGUGGCGCGUGGAUGUGAGGUACACGGACGAUGAAUUCUUCUUCUUCAUAAGGCAGAACACAAGGCCUACUCUUUAGGCCUCUUUAUUGUGUUCUAGAUAUCAUGGAAUACUGUUUUUCUCCACACAGUGGCAGAGGGUGGUGUGUCGCUAUUCUUGUAAACAAUCUGAAAGGCAAGCUGACAGAACUCAUGUGCCAAUGUGCCCAAAUAUAUCUGAGUCCAGAGCUGUCCUUUAAUUUUCGGCUCCUACGAAGGUUUGUUCUCUGUCAUGGUUCUUUGCGUUGGCGUUGUUCAGACACACAAUACCAUGCACGGGUAGCCUUCACUCUCGAAGUCAGUGUAGGUGUUCGAUGAUGAUGAUUUCUGUAGCAGCUACUCUCAAAUCGAAAGAACUUCGGCAACAUUGUUGUUCUGUGUUUUACAGUACGUCAAAAGCCCCAGGAGGACAUUAAAACGUUUAAUGUCUUCCGGAAAUGUCUUCCGUUUAGUGCCUCCUUUUAAUGUACAUACACCUGGUAAUUCACAUGGUACAUGUAUACAGCGGUACAACGACGGAAGUAGACGACAAUUCCCGACGUGCCCCAUGCACCUUAGGUGGCGUUCAUCAAAUUUGCACUAAAAAUCCACUAGUUUUGCAGAUUGUGAGAGGUAUCCAUUUCAAUCCCAUCCAAUCCACUUGCCACCCAAAAUGGCGCUGCCCAUGUUGGAUAGGGGGACAAAUAGUGAGGAUAGGUCGAUUGAUAGCGUCCCAUAUUUCGACACCCGAUUGGUCAGAGAGCUCAAAAAGUGGCUGGAGCUUUUGGUAUAGGCAUGACCCAUUAAUGGCCAGACUCCCUUUUAAUAUACGGCUCUAGCGUACCCACAUGCGGUAGAGAUGUGCGCGGCCUCCUGCAGCUUGCUGCGCGUAUGCAUGCCGCCCCAGCUCUACUGCGUCCUCCCGCGACUCUCCACAGCGAGAGCUUCUGGUUCCGUGUUUGACAAGAUGGCGAACGACAUCGAAGUCGAGCUACUGACAAUAGUGAACGCUUCAGUUCUUACAUCUGAGCUUUUGCGAAAUCAACAUUGCAGACGCAAGAAACGUAGGCUUUGGGUUCACUCACUGUGGCGAUAGCGCAUUCUUUUCUUGCGAACAAUGUUUAGCUUUCAAAUUCCUGACACUAUCUAUGACGGUUAAUAUCUUACACUUUACCUACCUGCCCUCCCACAUUUUACUGCAGUGUCGGCCCAAAAAGCCAUUUUAGGGCAACGCUUUACAAUGUAGACAGCAAUGACAUUUUAUUUUCUUCAUAAAUUCGCCGAUUGAAAAACGUGAGCACCACUGCGACAUACCUUCCAGUCAACGAUGCCGUCAAUGCUCUGCGUGCGGGAGGCUGGAAGUUAAACUGCAUGCUGAUUGUGUCUGGAGUUUGUGUUGCAGUCCGUAACAUAGUGCAACAGAAAAAUACGGCCCUGUUUGUUCCAGCAUUGUUGUCCUAAGACGAGUCGUGGUGCUUCGUCGAAAGAAUAAAUAUAUAUGCAGAAACAACUGCCUAUAUGACACGUGGGGCGUGGUUGCGUGGGAUGCGUACCACGAGCUCUUCUUCGACAUAAAACACACGGCAAUUCCUCUUGCUCCUUAAAACUUGUUUGUUGGGUUUUCAAUACCGUUCAGAAUGUUUUUUUUUCUCUCUCUCUCUCUCUCUACAAUGGACUAUGAGUUCUUUCCUGCCAUUUCUGUAGACAAGGUCACGAGCGAAGUGACAUAGCUCGUGGACGAGGGUUCCAAUGAACCUGUUGGGCCAUAACUUGUCGGUUGUGGUUCUUGUCUUCUUUUAUAGAUGGGUAGAAAUCCAGCGAACCCAGAAGAAGAACAGUCUCUGUUCGAAAUAUCGGCGGCUUCUGUCCUGAGGCAACUCCCUUCCUACUUGUCUUCUUUUAGCUUUGCCAGCUUUGAGGUUCUGUUCUUCAUCACAAGCGGCGCACAUGGGUGCAAGGAAAGCACAUUAUAUCCACUUAUCACAUCGAAUCAAGCUUCAGUCACUUUUCUGUCAGAAAAUCAUCAGUACUCUAAUCAUCGUAAUCAGCUGUGAUCUUUCACCAGACCACAUCAACCAUACAGUACUGUACUGUACCAUUGAAUACUGUACCCUACUGAAAAAACUAUCAGCCAAGUUUCUGCUUGUUCAUCAGAAUUCUACUGAUGCCUGUAAAUUGGGGCAGACCAGGCGUGACGGCUUGAUGGGACCACCAAAUCGUAUGAGUGGUGUACUGAUUCCUAACAAAAGACUGGUCUCUAACACAAUUAUAAAACAUAUUUAUUUGAAGCACACAACGAUACGUACAGGUGAGGGUUGGACCAUCUCGAAGCUGGAACACGAAUCCUCUUUUCAGAUAGUUACUGUCCAACUACCAUAUUUUGUUCUUUUCUUGAGCUUCUCUCCUUUACGUUUACGGAUCGCACAUGAAGGUACCUGAAUAAUAGACAAAAGUGUCAGAAGAACAUCUGCUAACUAACAAUGAAAUAUACCAGAGCACAAGAUCACACGUACAGCAACCGCAAACAGAAUGCGGCAUGGUUUGAGCGAAAACGAAUGCACCAUCAUGACUGAACUUCGACGUAUAUUGGUGCUGCAACGGUAUUUUAUUUCAAGAAUCUUCGUGACUGGAAACUAACCGUGGAAAACUGCUGCGGCGUCCCAACAUAUAACCCCAUUGAAAAAAUGAACAAUAAAAGAAACAGUUGCCGCAGCAGCUUUUAGUUGCCGUGAUUUGGGACAUUUCUGGAGUUUUCCUCUCCAGUGUUAACAUCAGCAUUCCCUCUUGUUCCACGUGUAUUUUACCUUAUGUUCAGGCACCCUGGUGUUUUUGGUGUGUGUGGUCUGAUGCUGCACACCACAAUUCCUGGUGUCUUUUAUUGCGCCAUUGUUGCGCAUUAUGCGGUCUCACGCAUUCCAUUCCUUGAUGUGCUCCUCAGCACUCCCUCGAGUCACUAAAAGCUGCUCAUGUUUUCAUGUGACACAGGUGGAGGAUAUUUCUUGAAUAACUGAACAAUGGCCAACGGGUGGGUCUUCCUUUUGGACAUCGUACGUGGACAUCCAGAAUGACAUUUAAUGGACGCCUUACGGGACGUUACCAUCGAGCUCUCCCUCUUCCUCAUGCAUGCUUCACUGCACUUCCACUGUGCACGAAGCGUGACAAUAUUUUACAACAGUUCAAUUGUGAACAGCACUUUUAUUUGAUAGACAAAACAAACGUUACAACGGACUAAUUGAUAUAAUCAGUUGCACAGAACACGCAAGAGCAAUGACACUGACCCCCCAAAAUAGCAUAAACCAGAAUAUAUAGCUUAUUUAUUUAUUAUUCUGCAUCAUCCGAAAUAAUCCUUAUGAGUGGUGCAUUUUACACGAGAGAAAGAAAGAAAAUAAACGUAACAGCAAAAACAGAUGACACCCUGAUAAAAAAAACCAAUGCUAAGCAUCGGAUAAGUAGCUAAGUAGAUCGCGUUUCAGUGCAUGCAGACGUUGAAAACCACACUGUACACGACUCUAUGGUCAAUGUCUAAAUGUUAUGUUGAUAUCACAAGAAUACCAAGCUAAGAGCAACACUUGGCAAUGUGUAACUGACAGUGGCAAGUAACGUGACGCAUCAAAUAAAACUCCCACAAAGGACAGGUCAAGCUGUCUUUGCUGUAAAUGGCUGAAUAUAUAGUAUUCGCCACUACUGUGGUGUUCGGUACAUACCACACUUUCUAUCGUAAGUAUAGAAUUUUGAAAGGAAUAUUUAUACCCUUGUUACACGGUCAUUCUUAACCGCGGUUCUCAAUAACCGCCGUUACUCUACCUAAACGCGGUUAUCCUAAACCACCGUUCGCUGCUGUUACACGGCGUGUAUCAUCACAGUUUGGUGUGGUUACGUGGUUUCAAUCCCGCAGAUUAAUAUUUACUAAAUUGAGCACUUAGAAAUAUAUAAAAUGAUUGAAUAAUAUAUUCCUAACAUACUUUUCCUGUAUCGACCUUCUUUUUAAACUAUAUAGCCAAAUAUUCGCACGGUUCCGUCGACCAUAGAGUUAAUAUAGGAAGACUCUAGAGAACGUACUUGGCGCACCGUCAAUGGGAUUCUCCUAUCCCAGAGCGUGAUCGCCCGGGCGCAGCCAUCAGUUGGUCAUGGACAGUGUUAGUGGACGGAUUUCAGCCCCCUAACUACAGCGGAGCUGCUCCGUUUGUUGCCAACCCUGUGCAGUUACGUGGGAUGACAGACGGUGGAACGACCCGAUGGAGGCAACGGCGUCCACCGUACGGAGCGAGGCCAGCCGACGAGUACGUACGAAUCUUCGGGAUACCUGCAGAAUUGAGUAGUGCUAUCGGAAUCACAAGGUAAACGUUGCCAUAUCAAACGUGAAUCAUAUCUUAUCUAUGAGAUACCUGCGACACCGCCAACACUUUGUUUUCCACCUACACGGAUGAAGAUGUUUACCGCCUAUGACUUGUUGAAGUGGCGUUUGUAUGCUUUGCGAGCGAAAUCAAUAAAUCGUUACCCAUCGUAACAAAUUUAGGUAUGUAUUUCCGAAGGCAACAGAAUUCCAAAGAUGAAUACACACAGUAAACCGCCAUUUUCAUGCUGCUCUGCGAACUAACAGGAACCGGAAAUGGCAAAAACGAAACCACCCCCCAUUCCAUGCUCUGGUCUGUCGAGUUUCGUGAUAAUAAAGUGACGAACGAAUUGCAGCACACAAGCAAAUGAUGUAGUGGGAAAAUAUUUACUGCUUACUUGUUUAACGAAUACAUAUGAGGUACAGAUUGGGACAAAAGUUUACGGAACACGCGAGCGACGUACUUUUUCUUCGGUGCGACACCCUAGCGGCAGCCGGAAGUGGGUGAGUUCACUGUUUCGGAGGGAUGGAAGGGUGCGCUGUGAAUGACACACAGCGGUAACUCGUACUUCCCUGGCACACCCAAGUGACACUGGAGCGACCACUGCGUGUCGCUAACAGCGCAUCCGUCCACCCCUCCGAAACAGU